CUACCCUGGCUGCCAUCUAGGAUGAGUGGCUGGCUCAGACCCUAGUGUCAGCGCCCUAAUCCCCACCGGGCCAGGCACCGGUGCUGUGUUGUGCGGGCACGCUCUCUGGAAGUUUCUACAUCCAGAAACUUCCACCAUCGAAACAGUCUGGGACAAAAUACGAAUAUAUUUGGGUCGUGUUUCAGAGGAGUCUAUCCACGGUCACAAUUAUUCCUCUGGGCCUGUGACGUCACAUCACAUCACACCACGUCACAUCAUCAUGUGGAGCAUGUGCUGGGGAAAGCCUGCUACCUCAUUGUAGUUGGUAAGUAAAGAGAAAAGGAGAGCAAGAUGGUCUCAUUGGGGGUACCAAUGUCACCUUCGAGGGCAUCCCUGGUUAAGUCAUUAAUUGUCUAUUAGGCCCUCCCUCUUAAU
RNAcentral lists this long non-coding RNA (414 nucleotides) under Cricetulus griseus (Chinese hamster). RNAcentral's name for it is "lncRNA (ENSCGRG00015035381.1)". Lineage: Eukaryota; Metazoa; Chordata; Mammalia; Rodentia; Cricetidae. The record is from RNAcentral.